CCUGGUAUACUCUUACCUGAGUCUAGAUGAACAUGCGUUAUUGGUAACGAUUAGGUAUGAAGCUUCAUUGACAAUGUUUUGGUUAAAAUCACUUAUUUAUACGAUUAGGGG
Non-coding RNA from Rosellinia necatrix, 111 nucleotides. The record is from Rfam. NCBI's taxonomy places the organism in Eukaryota, Fungi, Ascomycota, Sordariomycetes, Xylariales, Xylariaceae.